Mauremys reevesii (Reeves's turtle) is the source of this 458-nucleotide long non-coding RNA. RefSeq lists it as uncharacterized. NCBI's taxonomy places the organism in Eukaryota, Metazoa, Chordata, Testudines, Geoemydidae. The transcript is spliced from 3 exons. The record is from RefSeq and is a predicted model, not a curated record.
AGAUUGUCAUACUCAGAGGUUUUUCCUUCUAAAACUCUCUCCAGCUACACUGAAAGGGAAGAAGGUAAAAGGCUAGUGCUCUUCGGAUGUUGAGCGUGUGAAGAGAAGCCUCCCUGUUGUUGGCAUGUGGUUUCGGGAAAAACACAUGGACAUAGAUGCCGAGAGCCUUUAAGGUGGCCUGGGAAUCCUUUAAAGUAUGCAAGGACACAUCGGUGGAUUCGGCAAACAGUUUCUGACCCUCAAAGGGGAGGUCCUCAACCACAGCCUGCACCUCUCUCGGGAAUCCUGAUAGGUGGUGCCAAGAUGCCCGACAGAUGACCACAGAGGUCACGAUGGAGCGUGCUGCUGUGUCCUUGGAAUCAAGAGAGGCUUGGAGGGUUGACCUUGCGAUGAGAGAACCUUUGGAGAUGUUGGACUUAUACGCUUCUCUCUUGUCCUCUGGAAGAUUUUCAAUAAAA